GGCGGGGUAGCUCAGUGGCAGAGCUGCGGACUCAUAAGCCGUCGGUCGUGGGUUCGAAUCCCACCCCCGCCACCA
Molecule: transfer RNA, 75 nt
Filed under: Chloroflexota bacterium
Lineage: Bacteria; Bacillati; Chloroflexota
Also listed under: 1 other name
Description: Chloroflexi bacterium (soil metagenome) tRNA-Met
Rfam family: tRNA
About the family: Transfer RNA (tRNA) molecules are approximately 80 nucleotides in length. Their secondary structure includes four short double-helical elements and three loops (D, anti-codon, and T loops).
Source: RNAcentral